RNAcentral lists this ribosomal RNA (842 nucleotides) under Actinomadura sp. RNAcentral describes it as "bacterial SSU rRNA". It matches the Rfam family "Bacterial small subunit ribosomal RNA", at positions 56 to 914 of the family's 1533-position model. Lineage: Bacteria; Bacillati; Actinomycetota; Actinomycetes; Streptosporangiales; Thermomonosporaceae. The record is from RNAcentral.
UGCAGUCGAGCGGAAGGCCCCUUCGGGGGUACUCGAGCGGCGAACGGGUGAGUAACACGUGAGCAACCUGCCCCUGACUCUGGGAUAAGCCCGGGAAACUGGGUCUAAUACCGGAUAUGACGCACUCUCGCAUGGGAUGUGUGUGGAAAGUUUUUCGGUUGGGGAUGGGCUCGCGGCCUAUCAGCUUGUUGGUGGGGUGAUGGCCUACCAAGGCGACGACGGGUAACCGGCCUGAGAGGGCGACCGGUCACACUGGGACUGAGACACGGCCCAGACUCCUACGGGAGGCAGCAGUGGGGAAUAUUGCGCAAUGGGCGGAAGCCUGACGCAGCGACGCCGCGUGGGGGAUGACGGCCUUCGGGUUGUAAACCUCUUUCAGCAGGGACGAAGCUAACGUGACGGUACCUGCAGAAGAAGCGCCGGCUAACUACGUGCCAGCAGCCGCGGUAAUACGUAGGGCGCAAGCGUUGUCCGGAAUUAUUGGGCGUAAAGAGCUCGUAGGCGGUUUGUCGCGUCUGUCGUGAAAGCCCACGGCUUAACUGUGGGUCUGCGGUGGAUACGGGCAGACUAGAGGCAGGUAGGGGAGAAUGGAAUUCCCGGUGUAGCGGUGAAAUGCGCAGAUAUCGGGAGGAACACCGGUGGCGAAGGCGGUUCUCUGGGCCUGUACUGACGCUGAGGAGCGAAAGCGUGGGGAGCGAACAGGAUUAGAUACCCUGGUAGUCCACGCCGUAAACGUUGGGCGCUAGGUGUGGGGUUCUUCCACGGAUUCCGCGCCGUAGCUAACGCAUUAAGCGCCCCGCCUGGGGAGUACGGCCGCAAGGCUAAAACUCAAAGGAAUUGAC